UGGGGGAUAUUGCACAAUGGGCGAAAGCCUGAUGCAGCGACGCCGCGUGGGGGAUGAAGGCUUUCGGGUUGUAAACCUCUUUCGCUAUCGAACAAGGCCCGCUUAGGGUGGGUUGAGGGUAGGUGGAGAAGAAGCGCCGGCUAACUACUUGCCAGCAGCCGCCGUAAUACGUAGGGCGCGAGCGUUGUCCGGAAUAAUUGUGCGUAAGGGGUUUAUAGGCCGCUUGCUGCUCCUGCUGUGAAAACGCGGGGCUUAACUUCGCGCGUGCAGUGGGUACGGGCAGCCUUGAGUGUGGUAGGGAUGACUGGAGUCCCAGGUGUAGCGGUGGAAUGCGCAGAUAUCUGGAGGAAAACCGAUGGCGAAGACAGGUCACUGGGGCAUUACUGACGCUGAGGAGCGAAAGCGUGGGUAGCGAACAGG
This 420-nucleotide ribosomal RNA is filed under the name bacterium. Its description in RNAcentral is "partial 16S ribosomal RNA". It matches the Rfam family "Bacterial small subunit ribosomal RNA", at positions 355 to 776 of the family's 1533-position model. The record is from RNAcentral.